Molecule: long non-coding RNA, 7706 nt
Filed under: Sus scrofa (pig)
Lineage: Eukaryota; Metazoa; Chordata; Mammalia; Artiodactyla; Suidae
Description: lncRNA (ENSSSCG00055009666.1)
Source: RNAcentral
UUUUUGCCUUUUCUAGGGCUGCUCCUGUGGCAUGUGGAGGUUCCCAGGCUAGGGGUCUAAUCGGAGCUAUUGCUGCCGGCCUACACCAGAGCCAUAGCAACGCAGGAUCCGAGCAGCGUCUGUGACCUACACUGCAGCUCACGGCCACUGCAGAUCCUUAACCCACUGAGCAAGGCCAGGGAUCGAACCCAGAACCUCAGGGUUCCUAGUACGGAUUUGUUAACCACUGAGCCAGGAGGAGAACUCCUAGAGCUAAAUUCUUAUUUACUAAAGAGGAAAUCAAUGGAAAGUGGAAGAGUCAAAAAUAUGCACAUUACUCAGAUCCACGAGAUGAAACAUCGCUAGAAGCAGCAGCUAAACGGGGUUGCCUCGAGGAGAAGGCAAGGAACAACUGCACUUGCUGAAGACACGCUCAUCCCAUUUGACAUCUUAAAUUAUAUGCAUGUACUACUGUGAAGAACUAAAAAAAUAAUUUUUAAAAAGAGAGAAUGGGUCUGGGAAUAAGGGCUUGCAUUCCAGCUGCAACCACUGAAGGAGGGGUUUGGCCUCCUCGGCAAGAGUGCAGCUAAGUCCUUCCACCUCUGUUACUCUAUGAAACCAUCACAUCCCACAGAAUAACCAUCAUCGGCUCCUCACACCCACACGGAGUUCCAUCACCAGCUCUAAAAGUGGUACCUCCCUCCCCGCGCCCCCACUCUGCCCCUCACGAAAUGCUUAAUUCUUCUCCCAACACAUCAUUUCCACCCAGUCCAGCCCAGGCACAGCCUGGCACACCCCCCCCGACAUUCCUCCCAAACUGUACUCUGCUGCCCACACCCCUAACCACAAUCCCGGCUCACUCGUGAGCCCAACUCAGCCCCAAGACCCACCAUGCAACCAUCGCCUGGGGCUGCCAGACAGUCCCCGCUGUGUCAACUGCCACCUCCGCCACCACCCCGUCCCCGGCGCCAUUCCCACCUUGCUCACCAACCCCAACCCCAUCAGCAACCCCCCGCCCCGAGCUAAUCCCCCCAAAGUCUCACCUCUAAGCCUGCUCCAACCAGCACCAACCUGACUGUCACCCCACAGUCUCGCCUCAACAAGAGGAAUUAUCCUCGUCCAGAAACAAAACCAUAGUUACCCCAAAACUCCGAUCCUUGCUCCAUCAAAACGAUCCCAAUGUGUUCGCCACAAGAGCCUCUCCGGCUCCAUCACGGGUCCUCUAUUUGAACUGCUGAAAAACAUGUGACCACCUGGGCGCCAGGUCCUUCUUUACCCUCUAUCGGAAGUCUACUUUUCUCCUAGCGGACUUUGCUGUUUUGGGUCUAUCUUGGUGCCUUCCCCUCCUUCCCAGUGGGGUUUCUGCGGUGUUUGCACUGAUCCCACUCCUCACCCAAGUCGCAGAAUGAGCACGUGACCAGGCGAGCCAAUCAGAAGCCUCCCAGGAACAUUUUGCCCCAGUGGAAAGAUGCUAACCUGAUAGGAUGUGAGUCAGGACCUGCUGGCUGUGGUGGGGAGAGCUUGCCUGAGGACCAAGGGAAGAAACACUGAAGUCCUGGGUCCCUGGAUCCAGCUGUACCUGAGCAAGGACACCUCUGAACCUCUCCGUAAUGUGAGACUUUCCCUACUCUGGUGCGAGUGAGUCUGUGCCUUGCGAUUGACAGUCUUAAUCCGUAGGUAACCUCAACCUCCUGAAGUUUUCCCUGGGAGGCCUGGUUGCCUGGGUUCAGAUCCUGGCCUUAUUAGCAUCAGCCGUGUGACUGGAGGCAUCACGGGGCCUCGGUUUUCUCAGCUGCAAAAUGGGGAAAAUAACAGGAGCCACUUCACAGGCCUUCUGUGGGAAUCAAAAUGAGAUGCGUUACACAUGCUUCCGAGAGCGCCUACACAAAGAAAGUACUCUGAACUCUCAACAAUUAUGAGUCCCUGACUAAUCCAGCCCACAGUUUUCUCUCCUUUCUUGAAAUCCCUGGAGUGCCUGAGAGUGUACUUCACUCGAACAGGAGCUUGUACUGAUUAUGUUCUUACAAGCGNGGGGGGGGGGGGCUGUGCACAGAGCUUUACAAUGUCGGCAUCCUGUUCAUCCGCACACCUGCCUCACUCCACCCCUUUGCAAUGGGGACUAUUUUUAUCCCCAUUUUCUAGAUGAGAAGAAUGAGGUACAGAGAGGUGAGCAAAGCUGCCCACAGCCACAGAGCUGGCGAGGCUGGAUCCAAAUCCAAGAAGGUCCCCUGCUGAAGCUGUUUCCCGCUCCACCACCGCCUCGCACAAUUAGCAUGUGACCACUGCAGACUUAUUAACUUUGGGCACAAAACAAAGUUCCCAGUCCGUGUCCCGCCCCCCUUUUUUAAUUUGUGUUUUAGGGCCACACCAGUGGCAUAUGGAGGUUCCCAGGCUGGGGUCGAAUCAGAGUUGCAGCUGCCGGCCUACAGCACCGCCACAGCAAUGCUGGAUCCAAUGUCUGAAAGACCAACACCACAGCUCAUGGCAAUGCUGGUUCCCCCACCCGCUGAGCCAGGCCAGGGAUCGAACACAUGUCCUCAUGGAAACUAGUGGGGUUACCGCUGAGCCACAAGGGGAACUCCCUUAGUCUCCCUUUCCUGGUGAGGCCUGCCUGCUGUGAGGGCAAGAGAGGGGUGGCAGCAGGAAAUGCACCCUUCUAAGCUUAGCAGCCAGUGCCCCGCCCAAUGCAGGAGUCAUUCAUUCAUUUAUUCCCAUGGGUCCGGCGCUGUGCUCAGGGACGUGCAUUGUCCCAUCCCAUCCUCCUAACCACCCUAUGAAGUCGGUUCUGUUAUUAUUCCCAUUUUUUAAAAGGAGAAACUGAGGCUUGGAGAGUUUAAUGAUCUCUCCAGGGCGGCACAGGUAGAAAGUCCCAGAUGCAUCUCCCAAGUCCUUACAAACAAGGCAACACUGAGUCACGGAUGAGCAGGAGAAGCACAGACCCCACAUCAGCUCUCCGUGCCCGCAGUGGGACGCCGGCCCACAGAUAACAGCCUCGUGGCUGAAUUUCCUAUUUGAGCUUAGGAGGGGGCGCGAAUACGUCCUGUGGGUGACGGAAGCCCAGAGAGUAUCUCGUGUCCCACGCCACCCAAUCCUCUGCUGGGUGAUGAUAAGCUUGGUGAGCUGGGGGCAGCAGGAAGCUGAGGGGAGACAGAAGGGCCUCCUAGACAGAGAUGCUUAUCUGCCAAGUCUUCCCCCACCCGCCCCAAUACGGGCUGGAUAAGGAGGAGGGGGAGGUCCCAGUACCACUCUCUGAUUGCUCACUCUCUCGCAGCGGGAGGGAGGUGCGUGUCGUCACACCAUCACUCUGACUUCCAGAAACGUCCUUCCCACCCAAAACCACCAGCUGCCCAGAGAAUACCAAAAGCCACUGGCAACAGGCCAACGAUCCUGCCAUCCUGUUCCCCACUUCAAAGCCCAUCUGUCUGGCUCUGGAGUCACAACAAGACGACUUGUGGCUCUCACGCCACCCGCGAGGCCGGGGCAUCACCAGCAGGAGCAUUUAUAGUCACACCAAAUGCUGCCGUUGUGGCGGCCACACUGGCAGAGAUGGGGUGGAUGAGACUCGUCUGCUCACACUCAUGGUUACCAUGACACAGCCCCCAAGGCAGGGACGGGGGAACAAAGGGUUGUACCCAAAAUAGACGCUGGUAAGGAGCCGAAAUUGUUCUGCGGAGCCAAAAUGAGCCGAGAGAGUUCCGCACAGGAGCACGGUUUCCAAAUGAACGUGGGGAGUCAGGAGCAGCCCUACGGGGGCCCGGGAUGGUGUGCGCCGUGCCAGGCGGGGGGCUCCCCGCGCCCUGGGAGGCAGGGCGCGGGUGCUCAAGCUGAAAGGCCCUGUGAGAAUCGGCCCUGCGGACCCUGGCGGGCCUGCGGCCACAAGCACAGCUCUGAUUCCGUCCUCCCCUCGAGGGGGUGCAUGGUCCACCCCUGUGAUUCUUUUCCAGACUUUUCUAAAGAACGGUCCACACCUGCCAGCUCCAGAGCCUCUUACUAGACGCUUCCUCUGAUCCCAGCAGCUGGUCCGCACCCCACCCAAUAUCUCCGAAAGCCCCCAGGGGUGCUGAAGGUUGUAAUCCCACAAGGGGGACACUACAGUGGUUCCCCAGGAGGACACGUCGUCUACCUGGCUUUGGGGGACCCCUGCAUGGACCACUGACCAACACACAAAAAAAGGACCUACUCCAUGAGCUGGAGGGAUUGAUUCUAGUUACCAAGGAGACAUUGGGUUGCUGGCACUUAGAGGCCAGGAAGAUUACGCAGGGGAUUCCUCGGGUACCUCUUAGAGCUUCCGGGACCAAAAGGAAGGGUUGGUGAAAACCUGCUGUAACAAAACCAAACAAACGGCAGGAAAACCAAGGGUGCAGAGCCCUCAGAAACCAAGGUCUGGGUCUCCCCAUCAGGUAAAAGAAGCCUGCCCUGCUGCAGUUCUGGCUGCGCACAGAGGAUUUACGGAUGGGGAAAGGGAGAGAGAAGCCCGAUGGCGGCCUUGGGGACAAAUACAGAAAUGAGAGCUGUAGUAGUUUUGCAUAUCUUCUAUUUACUUGGUAUGCAGGUGUGUUCCUCUGACACGGUAGCCACAUUCUUCCUUUUCCUCUUUCUUCCCAUUAUUUUAAGUACAAGUUGAUGGAAGUUAACUUUACAGUCUGGGUAGCAGCAGAGUCAGCGGGAUGGUGACUGAAUAUGAGGUGUUAUUCGUGGAGACAGUGAUGGAUACAGUGAGCAAGAAGAGAAAAACAACCCUUUUCUGGUCGGUAGGGGAGCUUGCACAUGUGUAACAGGGGGCAGAUGUGCGCUGUGCGGCCCAAGUAGCAGACUGUGCCAGUAAUUCACUCGCCCUGCAUUGCCCGCUCUGUGAAGAUGCAGCUGGGCCCUUUAAAGAGUUCCCCUGUGCCAGCAGGAGAGACAUCAACCUCCUGCCAGUAGAGGGCACUGCAGAGACACUGAAGGAGGAGUUUUCUUUCCCAGAACCAGUGUGGAGGGUUCCUGCAUUUAGACAACUUCUCUAGCGGCCAGAUCCUGCUGCCCCUGUGGCUUCCCUUGAACCCAGUCCUGUCCUGUCACAGCUUCUCCAGUGCCGGGCUCCUGCAGCAAGGGUGCUUCUCCAGCACCUGGCUCUAGCUGUGAGUGACGGGCAACAGCAGCCAGCAGCUUCACCCCGUCCUCCCCUUGGGCAGCCCAGGAGCACCGUGCCCUCCAGCAAGACCUUCCUCAUCAACAACUCUCCUUGGGACCCAAAAAGAGGGAUUUCCAGUGAGUUCCAGGGGGCAGUUUUCCAGCAAGUUCUGGCACCACAGUGACGUCACCAUCCAUGGAGCCAUGGCCAUGGCCUCUCCACCAAGGUCAGGAUCUCAGCCCCGGGGGGGCCUCUUCCUCGGGACUCCACGGCAACCCUAGGUGUCGUGGCCGUUCUCACAGAGGCUAUUCCGUCUUCUUUGCAGUUCGUUUUUCUUCUUACCCGCCAGUCUCUCGAUACUCCAGUCCCCUGGUAUCAUGAAUAAGCCUUUAAACUUCUCCUCUUCAAAUCACGAUGUGUUUCUGUCUCCUGAAUCGACCCUGACCGAGAGUCACCCAUGGCCUCAAAGGGCCUUUUUCCAUUCUCCCCGUCCUUGAGGUCAAUUCCGCCUCCUUGCUGGCGAAUCAUUCCUGCUUCAAGCACUCACUCAGCAAUCGCUUACCGAGUGCCGUGGCCGAGGGUGAACCAGAGGCCCCUGCUUCGGCAAGUUCACGGGCAAGGGGAUCCUCGGGCUCUCUCUCCCCACUCGGCUCCGUGCUCUUGGGCCUCGCUGGUCCUCGGGCUCCUCCGCUCAGCCUCCUGGGCUGGCCCAGGGUCUUGCUCCCAAAACUGCGCAGUGGGCACCCCUCUCGAGUCACACACACCCUGCUUCAGCUGCUCUCUAAAUCCUCCUCCGCCGAGAUGCCUGGGCUUAAGUGACUGCAGACUUCCGACGGCAAGGCCCCCACCUUUAUCCUCACGUGCAGUUACCUGAGGUCCUCCCCUUUAGAACCAGAUGCUUCAUGCUGCCUCUGGCUCCUCUAUGGGGAAGUGGCAGCCCCUUCCCUCAGCUGCCAAAGCCCCAAACCCCAGAGAGGACCGAAGUCCCACCUCCGCCGUCAGUCCCCCACACGGCACCAGGCGCCCGAUCCCGGGGACCACAGCUCUGGACCUUGGCAGUUAUCCUGUAACGCGUCUCAACACAUCUGGUGUCUCUACCUCCCACCCCAGCCUCUCAGCAAAGAUUUUCCACACAUGGCUUCCUCAAUCAAAACCCAGGAUGCCUGAUGAAAAUGUUCUGAAACUGAUUGUGGUAAUAGUUGCACAACUCCAUGAAUGUACUAAAAACCAUCCAAUUGCACACUUUAAAUGGGUGAACUGUAUGGUAUGUGAAUUAUAUCUCAAUACGGCUGUUAUUUUUAAAAACCCUCUGAUGCCGGUGAUUUUCACACUCCGUAAAAUCUAAACUCCAGUCUGGUGCUGCACUGAGGGCUGCACGGCGCGGCCUCAGCCUAUUGCUCUGACCUGCCCCCCACCUCUCCCAGCGACGGCGCCACUCCAGGGCCAGUCCCCGGCGCCCAGCUCCCGGCCCCUGUUUGCGCACGUGUCCACACCCACAUCGUUGGCUCUUCCGAGAGGGGGGCUCCUCCCAGAGGGCCCCAGCCCUCCCUCCCCCAUCCCUCAGCAUCCCCUCCCAGGGAUCUUCCAUCAGUUUCUGCUGUGCGGUCAUUUAGCUUGUCACGUGCAUACGUCUGUUCUCCUAAACAGGUGAGGUCGGAGCUCAUGCCCUGCGCUCCGCUCUUCUUCCACUCGUCCCUCCCGGGCCCCCCUGUCCCAGGCGACCCCUGAGGCAGAGAAGACUGUGUGAAGCCAGCCCCAGCAGCCGCACCAUCCCCGGCACAGGGUGAGGCCCCCAGCCCCCGUUCUAGGGGUCGCUCGGCAGGGCUCCCCAAGGCACCACACUAACGGGAAGGCCCCUGAUCCGCCUGCCCCAGGCCAGGACGUAUGCCCACUAUGGGGUCUGUGGCCUCCACCAGCCCCCAGAUGCCCCGGGUGCAGGGAGUCGGGAGGGACCUAGGUCAGGGUGCCCGUGAGCCACGGGGGUGCGGGGUGGGUUGACCAGCCAGCUGACCCCCUCCCGGGCCCCAACCAGGAGGUCCCCCAAAGGGUCUCGAGGGUCUGGGAGCUGCUGCUAGGGCACAGUGCCCCCUCACGGACGCGGUCAGAACUGGUCCCUGGUUUGCUCUCUCCUCACGCUCUACCCCAGCCCAAACCAAGCCAUUCGUGGUGGGGGGGAUGCAGGGGGUCGUGCGGGGAGAAAGAAGAGCCCAGGUUUCUGGGCAGCACAUCCCAGAACCUCCAGCCCUGGCCCAGCAGCCGCCCCUGCAGCCCUAGGUGGGUUCCGCCACCUCGAACCCUGGCUCUGCCAGGCAGAGGCGGGCUUCCCUGCACCACUCCGUACAGUGGGGUGAGGGAGGAGAGGGCCCCUCACCUGGGUCUAUCUAAGGAUACGAGAGCAUCUGAGUACUUGGCACAGGGCCUGGCACAUGGUAGGCACUCAAUAAAUAUUAUUAUUAUUUUUUUAAAGUAUUCUGUGAUUAAUCAGGGCAAAAGGCCUGCAAAGUGUCCUUAGGAAACCUAGAGUGUCGCCUCAGACCACACCCAGGAAUGGCUCUCACUGGCGCCUCGGACCGGCUGCUGCGGCCUGACCCAGAGGCCUCUCUCCCAGCUGAUG